AUACUUAUAUUAGAGAGUAAUCAUUUCUUUGUAAUAUAAACAAAGGAGGUUGUUGUUGUGACAAAAGACAUCACUAACACUCUUGGUGGUUUAGUGAACUAAUUUUGAAGACAGUUUGAAAUUCGCUUAAUUAUUAAGCUUUCCCUAUAAGAACUGUAUUCAUAAUUUGAGUUUGAUUCAAUCUAUACUAGUGUCAUUAAUAAAUUACCUAUAACAGAGGUAAUUUAAGUAUUAACAUGUAAGCUAUCGUAAACAUCAUUCAAUUUAUCAUUUUAAUAAUCGGUAAAUUCACUAAAUUUUUUCAUAAUUAAUAACAUCCCAAAAAAUAGAUAGAGAAAUAACUGUAAAAACAUUCCCUUAAUAAUAAGUUACAAAACCGUGAGUCCCUCCCAAGCUCACGGUUU
Molecule: non-coding RNA, 404 nt
Filed under: Staphylococcus arlettae
Lineage: Bacteria; Bacillati; Bacillota; Bacilli; Caryophanales; Staphylococcaceae
Description: RNAIII
Rfam family: RNAIII
About the family: This family represents RNAIII which is known to regulate the expression of many Staphylococcus aureus genes encoding exoproteins and cell wall associated proteins.
Source: RNAcentral